UCGAGAAUUUUUCACAAUGGGCGAAAGCCUGAUGGAGCGACGCCGCGUGGGGGAUGAAUGGCUUCGGCCCGUAAACCCCUGUCAUUCGCGAGCAAACGUUAUUAUUUAAAAGAUGAUAGCCUGAUAGUAGCGAAAGAGGAAGGGACGGCUAACCCUGUGCCAGCAGCCGCGGUAAUACAGAGGUCCCAAGCGUUGUUCGGAUUUACUGGGCGUAAAGGGUGCGUAGGUGGUGGGGUAAGUCGGAUGUGAAAUCUCCGAGCUCAACUCGGAAAGUGCAUUGGAAACUACCCUGCUCGAGGGUUGGAGGGGGGACUGGAAUACUUGGUGUAGCAGUGAAAUGCGUAGAUAUCAAGUGGAACACCAGUGGCGAAGGCGAGUCCCCGGACAACUCCUGACACAGAGGCACGAAAGCUAGGGGAGCAAACAG
RNAcentral lists this ribosomal RNA (427 nucleotides) under uncultured bacterium. RNAcentral describes it as "bacterial SSU rRNA". It matches the Rfam family "Bacterial small subunit ribosomal RNA", at positions 355 to 775 of the family's 1533-position model. The record is from RNAcentral.